GGUCAAGCUUUGGUAUUACCAGUGGCCCAACCAAUUCCUUGAGUACUGGAAAAGAGUCUGAAUAAAGCCUGAGUGCAGACAGUUAUGUACACUAGAAAAUAAACUGCAGGGCUGUCAAAGCUGAUCCUGGCUUCAGGAAGACCUUCUUAUGCUGGGAAUGUAGAAAACACAGCAGAGGAGAUUGUAAUAGCACAAGUCCUACCCCAUUCACAUUAUUCUCUCACUCUGCCACCUGCCUUUAAUCUGUGAGUGAGGCUUAUUGCUCUUGUGGAUCUCAUCUGCUUAUUUUGUCUUAGUAUUUGCUAAAGUAUAUGG
Molecule: long non-coding RNA, 315 nt
Filed under: Ficedula albicollis (Collared flycatcher)
Lineage: Eukaryota; Metazoa; Chordata; Aves; Passeriformes; Muscicapidae
Description: lncRNA (ENSFALG00000023987.1)
Source: RNAcentral